CGCACAUUGCGCCCGGUAGUAUUCUACCGGGCAUGCCUGUUCGAGCGUCAUUUCAACCCUCAAGCACUGCUUGGUGUUGGGGCGCUACCUCACGGUAGGCCCCCAAAUUCAUAGGCGAGCUCGCCAGGACCCCGAGCGUAGUAGUAUUCUUCUCGCUUUGGGCGUUCUGGCGGUGCGCUGCCUCUAAGCCUUUCCGGCCGCCCUCACCGGCGCCGGGAAACUCACACAAGGUUGACCUCGGAUCAGGUAGGAAUACGCGCUGAACUUAA
Molecule: unclassified non-coding RNA, 269 nt
Filed under: Diaporthales sp.
Lineage: Eukaryota; Fungi; Ascomycota; Sordariomycetes; Diaporthales
Description: partial contains 5.8S ribosomal RNA, internal transcribed spacer 2, and large subunit ribosomal RNA
Source: RNAcentral